GACGAACGCUGGCGGCGUGCCUAACACAUGCAAGUCGAGCGGUAAGGCCCUUCGGGGUACACGAGCGGCGGACGGCUGAGUAACACGUGGGAACAUACCCCAAAGUGAGGGAUAACGCACCGAAAGGUGUGCUAAUACCGCAUAUGAUCUUCGGAUUAAAGGAUUUAUCCGCUUUGGGAAUGGCCUGCGCACGAUUAGGUAGUUGGUAGGGUAAUGGCCUACCAAGCCGACGAUCUGUAGCUGGUUUGAGAGAACGACCAGCCACACUGGGACUGAGACACGGCCCAGACUCCUACGGGAGGCAGCAGUGAGGAAUAUUGGUCAAUGGGCGCAAGCCUGAACCAGCCAUGCCGCGUGCAGGAUGAAGCAUCUAUGGUGUGUAAACUGCUUUUGUACGGGAAGAAACCCUUGCUUGAGAGCAAGAUUGACGGUACCGUAAGAAUAAGGAUCGGCUAACUCCGUG
This 463-nucleotide ribosomal RNA is filed under the name uncultured bacterium. RNAcentral's name for it is "bacterial SSU rRNA". It matches the Rfam family "Bacterial small subunit ribosomal RNA", at positions 28 to 507 of the family's 1533-position model. The record is from RNAcentral.